UUUAAUUCGAUGCAACGCGAAGAACCUUACCUGGUCUUGACAUCCACGGAAGUUUUCAGAGAUGAGAAUGUGCCUUCGGGAACCGUGAGACAGGUGCUGCAUGGCUGUCGUCAGCUCGUGUUGUGAAAUGUUGGGUUAAGUCCCGCAACGAGCGCAACCCUUAUCCUUUGUUGCCAGCGGUCCGGCCGGGAACUCAAAGGAGACUGCCAGUGAUAAACUGGAGGAAGGUGGGGAUGACGUCAAGUCAUCAUGGCCCUUACGACCAGGGCUACACACGUGCUACAAUGGCGCAUACAAAGAGAAGCGACCUCGCGAGAGCAAGCGGACCUCAUAAAGUGCGACGUAGUCCGGAUUGGAGUCUGCAACUCGACUCCAUGAAGUCGGAAUCGCUAGUAAUCGUGGAUCAGAAUGCCA
RNAcentral lists this ribosomal RNA (414 nucleotides) under uncultured bacterium. Its description in RNAcentral is "bacterial SSU rRNA". It matches the Rfam family "Bacterial small subunit ribosomal RNA", at positions 945 to 1359 of the family's 1533-position model. The record is from RNAcentral.